RNAcentral lists this ribosomal RNA (448 nucleotides) under uncultured bacterium. RNAcentral describes it as "bacterial SSU rRNA". It matches the Rfam family "Bacterial small subunit ribosomal RNA", at positions 329 to 794 of the family's 1533-position model. The record is from RNAcentral.
UGCCAGACUCCUACGGGAGGCAGCAGUGGGGAAUAUUGCACAAUGGGGGGAACCCUGAUGCAGCGACGCCGCGUGGGUGAAGAAGUCAUUCGUGACGUAAAGCCCUAUCAGCAGGGAAGAAAAUGACGGUACCUGAGUAAGAAGCCCCGGCUAACUACGUGCCAGCAGCCGCGGUAAUACGUAGGGGGCGAGCGUUAUCCGGAUUUACUGGGUGUAAAGGGAGCGUAGACGGUUCUGCAAGUCUGAAGUGAAAGCCCGUGGCUUAACCGCGGAACGGCUUUGGAAACUGUGGAACUGGAGUGCUGGAGAGGCAAGCGGAAUUCCUAGUGUAGCGGUGAAAUGCGUAGAUAUUAGGAGGAACACCAGUGGCGAAGGCGGCUUGCUGGACAGUAACUGACGUUGAGGCUCGAAAGCGUGGGGAGCAAACAGGAUUAGAUACCCGGGUAUC